AGAGUUUGAUCCUGGCUCAGGAUGAACGCUAGCGGGAGGCCUAACACAUGCAAGCCGAGCGGUAUUGUUUCUUCGGAAACGAGAGAGCGGCGCACGGGUGCGGAACACGUGUGCAACCUGCCUUUAUCUGGGGGAUAGCCUUUCGAAAGGAAGAUUAAUACCCCAUAAUACUUUGAAUGGCAUCAUUUAAAAUUGAAAACUCCGGUGGAUAGAGAUGGGCACGCGCAAGAUUAGAUAGUUGGUAGGGUAACGGCCUACCAAGUCAGUGAUCUUUAGGGGGCCUGAGAGGGUGAUCCCCCACACUGGUACUGAGACACGGACCAGACUCCUACGGGAGGCAGCAGUGAGGAAUAUUGGACAAUGGGUGAGAGCCUGAUCCAGCCAUCCCGCGUGAAGGACGACGGCCCUAUGGGUUGUAAACUUCUUUUGUACAGGGAUAAACCUAUUUACGUGUAAAUAGCUGAAGGUACUGUACGAAUAAGCACCGGCUAACUCCGUGCCAGCAGCCGCGGUAAUACGGAGGGUGCAAGCGUUAUCCGGAUUUAUUGGGUUUAAAGGGUCCGUAGGCGGAUCCGUAAGUCAGUGGUGAAAUCUCAUAGCUUAACUAUGAAACUGCCAUUGAUACUGCGGGUCUUGAGUAAGGUAGAAGUAGCUGGAAUAAGUAGUGUAGCGGUGAAAUGCAUAGAUAUUACUUAGAACACCAAUUGCGGAGGCAGGUUACUAUGUCUUAACUGACGCUGAUGGACGAAAGCGUGGGGAGCGAACAGGAUUAGAUACCCUGGUAGUCCACGCCGUAAACGAUGCUAACUCGUUUUUGGGCUUUCGGGUUCAGAGACUAAGCGAAAGUGAUAAGUUAGCCACCUGGGGGAGUACGAACGCAAGUUUGAAACUCAAAAGGAAUUGACGG
This 907-nucleotide ribosomal RNA is filed under the name uncultured Bacteroidota bacterium. RNAcentral's name for it is "bacterial SSU rRNA". It matches the Rfam family "Bacterial small subunit ribosomal RNA", at positions 8 to 916 of the family's 1533-position model. Lineage: Bacteria; Pseudomonadati; Bacteroidota. The record is from RNAcentral.